UAGCAAUUCUUGGUUGAUUAUUUCAAAUACUGAGUAUGGAGUAUGUGCAAAAGAUUGUGGGUGAAAGAGUUGAGUAAACGUUUCUUUGACAUUUUAUGAAUUAUCACUUAUACUUUUUUUCUUUUUUGUUUUCCUGCUGUUCAUGAGCUGUAGAAAGCUGUAGAAUUAUUGCUUACAGUUUCACCGACAUCCAGGUGUUCUUAUUUCUUUGUGCUCUAAAGCUUUUUUUUUUUCUGUAGGGGGGCACCAUAUCUAGGUUUUACCACUAAAUGUGGGAGGAAGAAUACUGGCCCUCUAAAGUAUCCACACUCUCUCCCUCACCCCUGAACCUGUGAAUAGGUUACCGUACAGGGCAAAAGGGACUUUGCAGAUGUGGAUUAACUAGGUAGUCCCAAUUUAAUCACAUGAGACUUUAAAAGGGAGAACCUUUCCCAGCUGUAGUCAGAGGGAGCUAUAACUCCAGAAAGAUCAGACAGAUGCAAUGUUGCUGGCUUUGAAGUCACAAACCAAAGAAGGCAGGUGGCUUCCAGAAGCUGGAAAAGUCAAGGAAUUGAUUCUCCCCUAGAACCUCCAGAAAAGAAUGCAACACCUGCAACACUUUGAUUUUUAGCCCAGGAAGACCGGUGUUGGCCUUUUGACCUACAGAAAGGUAAGAUAAUAAAUUGGUGUUGUUUUAAGCCACUAAAUUGGUGGUAAUUUAUUAUGACAGCAAUAGAAAA
This is a long non-coding RNA of Sapajus apella (tufted capuchin), 719 nucleotides long. RefSeq lists it as uncharacterized. The transcript has 2 exons. The record is from RefSeq and is a predicted model, not a curated record. Lineage: Eukaryota; Metazoa; Chordata; Mammalia; Primates; Cebidae.